UACGGGGGGAGCAAGCGUUGUUCGGAUUUACUGGGCGUAAAGGGCGCGUAGGCGGUCAGCACAAGUCAGUUGUGAAAUCUCCGGGCUUAACUCGGAAAGGUCAACUGAUACUGUGCGACUAGAGUGCAGAAGGGGCAACUGGAAUUCUCGGUGUAGCGGGGAAAUGCGUAGAUAUCAAGAGGAACACCUGCGGCGAAGGCGGGUUGCUGGGCCGACACUGACGCUGAAGCGCGAAAGCCAGGGGAGCGAACGGG
This 254-nucleotide ribosomal RNA is filed under the name uncultured bacterium. Its description in RNAcentral is "partial 16S ribosomal RNA". It matches the Rfam family "Bacterial small subunit ribosomal RNA", at positions 524 to 776 of the family's 1533-position model. The record is from RNAcentral.